Molecule: long non-coding RNA, 1094 nt
Organism: Helicoverpa zea (corn earworm)
Lineage: Eukaryota; Metazoa; Arthropoda; Insecta; Lepidoptera; Noctuidae
Exons: 2
Source: RefSeq, a predicted model, not a curated record
AUGAUAACUCAAAAACUGCUUCAAAGAUGUUGAUGAAAAUCAAAUCGGACUAGCUUUGAGAUAGUUUGUCUACAUAAAAAUAAUAUAUUUCAAAAUCGGUCCACGCAACUCCGAGUAACUGGUUAACAAACUUGAAGUUAAUUGAUUGUUAAGGAUACUAAAAUGUCGUAUAUUUCCAAAACCCCAUACAUUUGGAUGAAAUCGUUAUGAUAAUCAUGAUCAAUCGAAGGAUGCGCUUCCGAUAGUUUCAAGUCUGUUGGUGGGUAGGGACAGGGUCCAUUCACAAUCCGGCAUUGUCCCUUGAAUGUGAAUCAGAAUCAUGUCAGUGUCUUAUUUCUUCUUCCAUUUUCUUCAUGGAGAUUGCAUGGGGUUGCAUGUCAACGAAGGUUGUAUUCCAUGUCGCUACAGAGCAUUUCGGUUUCCGAAUCUGAAUAUCUUAUCCGAAAACCGAAUGUGUGCAUCCAGUCGUAAUACUCGUAAUCUGUGAGUCGCGUCGCGUCGUCGUAUAGGAAAAAUAUUCGUCAUGAUAAAUUAAAAUGCAAUUGGCAACUGGCAACAUUCAUGGAACGAAAAUAACUCCUCUUUUGGCGCAAAGGCUAGAGGGCCAUGCCAUUAAAAAUUAAAAAAAAAAAAUAACUCCUCUGACAAGUUCGACUGUCUGCCCUAUGGGCAAAAAAAAAAAAAAAUCAAGUUCGACUGCUUGAAGGGUGGUUCUUUCUUUCUUCUAUCUAUGUAUGCGAGCCAUGAGAUUACCAACAAUCGACAACAGAAGAAUUAUUAAUUGAGAAAUACAUCCAAGUAAUAGUUAAAUAACCUAUAUAAUAAUACAAUCAUGUUCCGCUUACCCUAUGGAGAAAGAGUUGACCCCAUGGAAGAAAAGCGCCAAGCGCGUGAGAAUACCAUCAGUAGCGUGAUUACUUUCGCUAUACUUUGUGCCGCUAUCAGAGUGGCACCCAUAAUACUGGAACACAGUGGUCUUCAAGCUUAAGGCUAUACAUAAGAUACAAACCAAAAAAUGCUGGAAGAUUUAAUCAGCAGGUAGCUGCAUUGUUUAUUAUAGAAGAUGUUUAUUUCAAAUAAAUUCAUGUGAGCAA